UGGUUCUGGCAUNGAUGAAGAACGCAGCGAAAUGCGAUAAGUAAUGUGAAUUGCAGAAUUCAGUGAAUCAUCGAAUCUUUGAACGCACAUUGCGCCCUCUGGUAUUCCGGGGGGCAUGCCUGUUCGAGCGUCAUUACAACUUUCAAGCCUUGCUUGGUAUUGGGUGUCACCUGUGUGUACCUUAAAAUCAGUGGUACUGCCGUGCUGCUUCAAGCGUAGUAAAACAUUCGCUCUGGAGUUAGCUAUGAACAAGACCAACAAUUAAAACUAUAUUACCUAAAGUUGACCUCGGAUCAGGUAGGGAUACCCGCUGA
This 314-nucleotide unclassified non-coding RNA is filed under the name uncultured fungus. Its description in RNAcentral is "partial contains 5.8S ribosomal RNA and internal transcribed spacer 2". The stretch from base 1 to 133 matches the Rfam family "5.8S ribosomal RNA", at positions 22 to 154 of the family's 154-position model. The record is from RNAcentral. Lineage: Eukaryota; Fungi.